CGCCUACACAUGCAGUCGAGCGAGGUACUUGUACCUAGCGGCAGACGGGUGCGUCCCUUUAGGGUAUCCGCCCUUUGGCCUGGAAUAACACGACCUUUAUUGUGCUAAUACCGGAUAAGUCUUUACGGAGAAAGCUUUAUGCACCAUUGGAUGAGCCCGCACUUGAUUAGUUUGUUGGUGGGGUAAUGGCCUACCAAGACUGUGAUCAAUAGCUGAUUUGAGAGGAUGAUCAGCCACAUUGGGACUGAGACACGGCCCAAACUCCUACGGGAGGCAGCAGUGGGGAAUCUUGCACAAUGGAGGAAACUCUGAUGCAGCGAUGCCGCGUGAGUGAAGAAGGCCUUUGGGUUGUAAAGCUCUUUCGUCGGGGAAGAAAAUGACUGUACCCGAUUAAUAGGGUCCGGCUAACUUCGUGCCAGCAGCCGCGGUAAUACGAAGGGACCUAGCGUAGUUCGGAAUUACUGGGCUUAAAGAGUUCGUAGGUGGUUGAAAAAGUUAGUGGUGAAAUCCCAGAGCUUAACUCUGGAACUGCCAUUAAAACUUUUCAGCUAGAGUAUGAUAGAGGAAAGCAGAAUUUCUAGUGUAGAGGUGAAAUUCGUAGAUAUUAGAAAGAAUACCAAUUGCGAAGGCAGCUUUCUGGAUCAUUACUGACACUGAGGAACGAAAGCAUGGGUAGCGAAGAGGAUUAGAUACCCUCGUAGUCCAUGCCGUACACGAUGUGUGUUAGACGUUGGAAAUUUAUUUUCAGUGUCGCAGCGAAAGCGAUAAACACACCGCCUGGGGAGUACGACCGCCAGGUUAAAACUCAAAUGAAUUGACGGGGACCCGCACAAGUAGUGGAGCAUGUGGUUUAAUUCGAAGAUCCGCGCAGAACCUUACCAACACUUGACUGUUCGUCGCGACUCUAAAAAUUAGAGUUUUCGGUUCGGGCGGGACAAACCAGGGGCUGCAUGGCUGUCUCCAGCUCGGGGCGGGAAAGGUGGGGUAAAUCCCGCAACAGCCCACCCUCACCUUUUAUUGCAUCAUUAAUUGGGCCUCCUAAAAACCGGCAGGAAAAACUGGAAGAAGGGGGGAAGACUCCAACCCCCUGGCCCUUUAGGUUGGGCUCACCCCUGUUAAAGGGUUUCAAAAAGGAA
This 1136-nucleotide ribosomal RNA is filed under the name uncultured bacterium. Its description in RNAcentral is "bacterial SSU rRNA". It matches the Rfam family "Bacterial small subunit ribosomal RNA", at positions 45 to 1247 of the family's 1533-position model. The record is from RNAcentral.